RNAcentral lists this long non-coding RNA (1127 nucleotides) under Anthonomus grandis grandis. Its description in RNAcentral is "uncharacterized LOC126738294". Lineage: Eukaryota; Metazoa; Arthropoda; Insecta; Coleoptera; Curculionidae. The record is from RNAcentral.
UUUAUGUUCUUGUCAGUUAUUUUGAUAAGUUAUUCUGAUGAGCUUAUGUUAAUUCAAACCUAUACAUUUAUUAACGUUAUCUAUUACCAUUUAUUGAGUUCUUAUUGCUAGUUCGUUUCUCAUCAAUUUUUUUUCUAAUACGGAUAUGCAAAACGAGAUGCCGAACCUCCAAAUAGACGUAAAGUGGAUGAAGAAGAAGGGAUCAGUAAGGGGCCUGUACAAAAUUUUUUGGAUGCAGAGCUUACAGCAAGACUAGAUUUCGUCCGCUAUAUCCAGGCUCAACCAAAUCAAGAUCCCUUAUUUAUAAAUUAAAUUCUGUCUACGGAUAUAACGACUUUUACCUGACGAGGAAUUUUCAACUUUAAAAACGAGCAUUCAUGCGAUAUUGCAAAUCCGAACCUCAUUACUGAAAGACACUUUCAACACGAAUUUAAAAUUAAUAUUUGGUGUGGUGUAAUAGACAAUUUUUUGAGGCUAUACAAGUUACCUCCAAAUCUAAAUGGAGAAUUAUAUUUAAAGCUUUUACAAACAAAACUUACUGAUUAUUUAUAAGUACAUUUAAAUAUCCGCCAAGAUAUGGUUUUUAUGCAAGAUGGUGCUCCUGCAUCAUUUUGCAAGACCGGUAACAGUAUCUUAAUGCUAAUUUUAGCUGGAUAGGAUCUGGAAGUCGAAGACCUUGGCCCGCAGGAAAUCCAGACUUUAACCCCUUAGACUUUUCCAUGGGGAUACAUGAAAUCAAUUGUUUACGAAAAUACAAUAAACACAAGAAAGCAAUUAAUGGUAAAAAUAUUGACUGCUACUGAAUCAUUUCAAAAUAAUUAAUUAUUCUUUAAGAUUCGACGGUCUUUCAGUAAAAGAAUUUUAAAAUGUAUUGAGACAAAUGGAGGUCAUGUCAAACAUUUACGGGCAAAUAUUCAUAAUUUUUAUUUUCAAUUUAUCUUUUGUAUUUUAUCACUUAUACGAAGUGUAAUACAGCAAUUUAAAUAUUUUAUGAAUGUAAUUUUUUUAAUGCAUUGACAACUUUAAAUGUAAAUAUCUCGAAAAGGGUGAAUUGUAGCGAAAUUUUUGAAGGACAGCUUUUUUAAGCAAAAUUCAUAGUUUAAAUAAAGUACUGAAUUAUGCCACAA